AUAAACCUACAGGGGGCAGCAGUGGGGAAUAUUGCGCAAUGGGGGAAACCCUGACGCAGCAACGCCGCGUGAGUGAAGAAGUAUCUCGGUAUGUAAAGCUCUAUCAGCGGGGAAGAAGGAAGACGGUACCCGACUAAGAAGCCCCGGCUAACUACGUGCCAGCAGCCGCGGUAAUACGUAGGGGGCGAGCGUUAUCCGGAUUUACUGGGUGUAAAGGGAGCGUAGACGGCGGCGCAAGUCUGAAGUGAAAGCCCGUGGCUCAACCGCGGAACCGCUUUGGCAACUGCGAGGCUGGCGUGCUGGAG
This 305-nucleotide ribosomal RNA is filed under the name uncultured bacterium. RNAcentral describes it as "bacterial SSU rRNA". It matches the Rfam family "Bacterial small subunit ribosomal RNA", at positions 333 to 654 of the family's 1533-position model. The record is from RNAcentral.